RNAcentral lists this ribosomal RNA (410 nucleotides) under Staphylococcus aureus. RNAcentral describes it as "bacterial SSU rRNA". It matches the Rfam family "Bacterial small subunit ribosomal RNA", at positions 202 to 601 of the family's 1533-position model. The record is from RNAcentral. Lineage: Bacteria; Bacillati; Bacillota; Bacilli; Caryophanales; Staphylococcaceae.
AAAGACGGUCUUGCUGUCACUUAUAGAUGGAUCCGCGCUGCAUUAGCUAGUUGGUAAGGUAACGGCUUACCAAGGCAACGAUGCAUAGCCGACCUGAGAGGGUGAUCGGCCACACUGGAACUGAGACACGGUCCAGACUCCUACGGGAGGCAGCAGUAGGGAAUCUUCCGCAAUGGGCGAAAGCCUGACGGAGCAACGCCGCGUGAGUGAUGAAGGUCUUCGGAUCGUAAAACUCUGUUAUUAGGGAAGAACAUAUGUGUAAGUAACUGUGCACAUCUUGACGGUACCUAAUCAGAAAGCCACGGCUAACUACGUGCCAGCAGCCGCGGUAAUACGUAGGUGGCAAGCGUUAUCCGGAAUUAUUGGGCGUAAAGCGCGCGUAGGCGGUUUUUUAAGUCUGAUGUGAAAGC